RNAcentral lists this ribosomal RNA (294 nucleotides) under uncultured bacterium. RNAcentral describes it as "partial 16S ribosomal RNA". It matches the Rfam family "Bacterial small subunit ribosomal RNA", at positions 773 to 1060 of the family's 1533-position model. The record is from RNAcentral.
GUGGAUUAGAUACCCUAGUAGUCCACGCUGUAAACGAUGACGACUAGGUGUGGGGGGGGUUAGUCCUUUCCGUGCCGCAGCUAACGCAUUAAGUCGUCCGCCUGGGGAGUACGGCCGCAAGGUUGAAACUCAAAGGAAUUGACGGGGGCCCGCACAAGCGGUGGAGCAUGUGGUUCAAUUCGAUGCAGAGCGAAGAACCUUACCUGGGCUUGACAUGCUGGAAGUAGAAACCCGAAAGGGGGACGACCUGUUGAGUCAGGAGCCAGCACAGGUGGUGCAUGGCCGUCGACAACU